RNAcentral lists this long non-coding RNA (654 nucleotides) under Elaeis guineensis (African oil palm). RNAcentral's name for it is "long non-coding RNA (EGUI_LNC006936)". Lineage: Eukaryota; Viridiplantae; Streptophyta; Magnoliopsida; Arecales; Arecaceae. The record is from RNAcentral.
CUUUCAUGCCCGGCAAACCACUCGAUCACAGCCUCCCUGUGAGAUUCUGGCGAAAUCCAAGAAAAAUCCGACGAUCGGAGGAGGAGAUCCUAAAGGUUAGUUUUUUUAUUAUUUGCUGUGCUUCUUUAGACCCUCUUUUUUCAGAGUGAACCUUAACUUCUCUCAUAGCUUUGAUUUUUUCUUACCCCAGCGAUCUUUCGAAGGGUCUGCUCCCGUGAAGAAUGGAAUUGUUAGAAGAUUUGGAUUACGAGCCUGCAAUAAUUUGUGAUUGCGGUUUGAAAGCUGUUAGGAUCAUGUCAUGGAGUAAGAAGAAUUCUGAGCGGAGAUUCUAUUGGUACAUCAACCGCACGAUUAGAUGCUAAAAUCUUGAUCAUUUUCAAUUUUUUUAAAUUUUUUAUUAAUUUAAUUUUGUUCAUGAUUUAAAUGUUCAGUUAGUUGGUGGUGGUUGCAAUUUUUGGAGAUGGCAUGAUCCUCCUAUCAGAGAUGAUCGUAUGAAGGAUUUGAUUCUGAAGCUCCAUCAGAUAAAUAUUGAUCUCAGUUCAAGGUUACAGACGAUGAGAAAGUCUUCACCUAGGAUGACAUAGGGAAUUUCAAUAAUUCAGUCCCGUCAGAGUUGUAUUGAUAAUGAGUUUGAAUUUUAUAAAGAGAGAUUGC